GAUGAAGAACGUAGCGAAAUGCGAUAAGUAAUGUGAAUUGCAGAAUUCAGUGAAUCAUCGAAUCUUUGAACGCACAUUGCGCCCUCUGGUAUUCCGGGGGGCAUGCCUGUUCGAGCGUCAUUAUAACCACUCAAGCUCUCGCUUGGUAUUGGGGCUCGCGGUUCCGCGGCCCCUAAAAUCAGUGGCGGUGCCUGUCGGCUCUACGCGUAGUAAUACUCCUCGCGAUUGAGUCCCGGUCGGUCUACUUGCCAGCAACCCCCAAUUUUUACAGGUUGACCUCGGAUCAGGUAGGGAUACCCGCUGAACUUAAGCAUAUCAAUAAGCGGAGGA
This 330-nucleotide unclassified non-coding RNA is filed under the name soil metagenome. RNAcentral's name for it is "partial contains 5.8S ribosomal RNA, internal transcribed spacer 2, and large subunit ribosomal RNA". The stretch from base 1 to 120 matches the Rfam family "5.8S ribosomal RNA", at positions 35 to 154 of the family's 154-position model. The record is from RNAcentral.